GUUCAUGUUAUAAGGCAUGUAUUUUUUUGAAUAUUAUAGAGUAGAAAUUAGUAAGCUCUGAUAAGGCAAAGACUAGCAUUCGUGAAUAAUUAUAGAGAUAAAAAAUAUAACAGCAUAAUAAUCUGAUAUUAAAGUUUUCAUAUCAGAUAUCAUUUUGAUCUACUUUAUUCUUACUUCUCUUCCAUCAGAGUACGAUCUCUUUAAGAUCUCCCACAAGUAUGCACACUAAGGAUGGACAGUUAGUGAAUUACUAAUUAAAUAUGUGUAAGUAGAGAAGAGAUUGAGAGAA
This 289-nucleotide long non-coding RNA is filed under the name Elaeis guineensis (African oil palm). Its description in RNAcentral is "long non-coding RNA (EGUI_LNC020949)". Lineage: Eukaryota; Viridiplantae; Streptophyta; Magnoliopsida; Arecales; Arecaceae. The record is from RNAcentral.